Long non-coding RNA from Bombina bombina (fire-bellied toad), 498 nucleotides. RefSeq lists it as uncharacterized. The record is from RefSeq and is a predicted model, not a curated record. The transcript is spliced from 3 exons. Lineage: Eukaryota; Metazoa; Chordata; Amphibia; Anura; Bombinatoridae.
GCACAGACACGAACAGCGACAGGGAUAAUUUACAGUCAGAAAACUGAGAAGUACAGAUAUAAUGAAGCACAUAUCAGAACACGUACUGUAAUAGAAAGAUGUUUUGGUGUUCUAAAAAUGUACUUUCGCUGCCUGGAUAGAUCAGGGGGGGAUCUACAAUACAGUCCUGGAAAAAGCAAUAAAAAUCAUAAUAGCAUGUUGCUGUCUACACAACAUGGCACAGGAGCAUGGGAUGUUAAAUUAUUUAAUUCCACCACCACGGCCCCCAGGUGACAUGGAUGAGCCUGAUGUAAUUAAUCAUCCCCAACCACUUAAUGCCCAUUUGGAGAGAACUGCAACUAUUCAAGAUUUCUUUUCAGAUUGAAGAUUGUCAUUGUUACAGAUUCUCAGAAAUGGAAUAUCACUCCCCUCCCUCCCACACACCCCUCUUACACCCUCUCUCCUCAUUCCCAUAUUUACCAAAUUUUCCAAAAUAAAUGUGUACUUUACUCAAAUAUA